This 252-nucleotide ribosomal RNA is filed under the name uncultured bacterium. Its description in RNAcentral is "partial 16S ribosomal RNA". It matches the Rfam family "Bacterial small subunit ribosomal RNA", at positions 524 to 776 of the family's 1533-position model. The record is from RNAcentral.
UACGUAGGGUGCAAGCGUUAAUCGGAAUUACUGGGCGUAAAGCGUGCGCAGGCGGUGAUGUAAGACAGUUGUGAAAUCCCCGGGCUCAACCUGGGAACUGCAUCUGUGACUGCAUCGCUGGAGUACGGUAGAGGGGGAUGGAAUUCCGCGUGUAGCAGUGAAAUGCGUAGAUAUGCGGAGGAACACCGAUGGCGAAGGCAAUCCCCUGGACCUGUACUGACGCUCAUGCACGAAAGCGUGGGGACGAACAGG